GAGAACGACCCAUUGGGAAAUAAAUGAGGAAAGACUAGAAAUUGGUUUCAAGUAACCAUGCCUACACGAGAACCAAGGAAGACCGGCUGCGUGGACGUGGAGGAUGUGACAUUACACGACGUUGGAACGUGGAUGGUUGCCACAUUAAUCCUCGGGUACAAAUUAGAAUUCGUGACAAUUUUUUGAAAAGAUAUGUACAGACGUAUGAUCCGUUAUUGGAAAACUGAAUAGGACGGACCAAUUUGUUCGAUCCUUUGUAGGAAAAAUGGUUUGAAUUUUGGCAAGAUAAGCAAGGAUUUCCUUGGUUCUGAG
This 312-nucleotide long non-coding RNA is filed under the name Setaria viridis. RNAcentral's name for it is "long non-coding RNA (SVIR_LNC002025)". The record is from RNAcentral. Lineage: Eukaryota; Viridiplantae; Streptophyta; Magnoliopsida; Poales; Poaceae.